CAGCAGCGCGCCCCCUGAACGAUAACGAAGAGGUCAGUGAGAAGCCUGACCACGGAGACCGGGCAACGAUAAAAGACCGUCGGAAUAUUCGGUAGAGAUCCGAUAGACCAGAAGGCUGCAAUUAACAUCCAUGCCAAACGGUGGAGCUGCUCGAUAGCAAACCAAGCCUGCGGCCAAACGGAGAAGGUUUGGCAUACAUGAAGAAUCAGCUUGACACAAUCACACAGGACAAGACUGAGCAUCUAAGGCAGCAUUCAUCUGAUGAAGAGGACUUCUUCUCAUCACUGACAACCAAACGGUCAGAAGGUACAGGGGAGCUGGAUGGGUAUCUUGCUGGUCCAUUGGACAAAAUUGUUUCUGUACAUAAAGAAGUUGUCCCUCAAACUCAACACAGGCCUGCCUGCAUCUGCCGC
Oncorhynchus tshawytscha (Chinook salmon) is the source of this 413-nucleotide long non-coding RNA. The record is from Ensembl. NCBI's taxonomy places the organism in Eukaryota, Metazoa, Chordata, Actinopteri, Salmoniformes, Salmonidae.